This 69-nucleotide transfer RNA is filed under the name Bos taurus (domestic cattle). It matches the Rfam family "tRNA". From Rfam's summary of the family: Transfer RNA (tRNA) molecules are approximately 80 nucleotides in length. Their secondary structure includes four short double-helical elements and three loops (D, anti-codon, and T loops). Further hydrogen bonds mediate the characteristic L-shaped molecular structure. tRNAs have two regions of fundamental functional importance: the anti-codon, which is responsible for specific mRNA codon recognition, and the 3' end, to which the tRNAs corresponding amino acid is attached (by aminoacyl-tRNA synthetases). tRNAs cope with the degeneracy of the genetic code in two manners: having more than one tRNA (with a specific anti-codon) for a particular amino acid; and 'wobble' base-pairing, i.e. permitting non-standard base-pairing at the 3rd anti-codon position. Lineage: Eukaryota; Metazoa; Chordata; Mammalia; Artiodactyla; Bovidae. The record is from Rfam by way of RNAcentral. RNAcentral also lists the same sequence under 2 other names.
CCUGGUGGCUCAGAAGUUAAAGCAUCUGCCUCCAAUGCAGGAGACUCGGGUUCAAUCCCUGGGUCAGGA